UCUGAAUAUGGGGGGCCCAUCCUCCAAGGCUAAAUACUCCUGACUGACCGAUAGUGAACCAGUACCGUGAGGGAAAGGCGAAAAGAACCCCGGCGAGGGGAGUGAAAAAGAACCUGAAACCGUGUACGUACAAGCAGUGGGAGCACGCUUAGGCGUGUGACUGCGUACCUUUUGUAUAAUGGGUCAGCGACUUAUAUUCUGUAGCAAGGUUAACCGAAUAGGGGAGCCGAAGGGAAACCGAGUCUUAACUGGGCGUUAAGUUGCAGGGUAUAGACCCGAAACCCGGUGAUCUAGCCAUGGGCAGGUUGAAGGUUGGGUAACACUAACUGGAGGACCGAACCGACUAAUGUUGAAAAAUUAGCGGAUGACUUGUGGCUGGGGGUGAAAGGCCAAUCAAACCGGGAGAUAGCUGGUUCUCCCCGAAAGCUAUUUAGGUAGCGCCUCGUGAAUUCAUCUCCGGGGGUAGAGCACUGUUUCGGCA
This 481-nucleotide ribosomal RNA is filed under the name Shigella sonnei. RNAcentral's name for it is "partial 23S ribosomal RNA". It matches the Rfam family "Bacterial large subunit ribosomal RNA", at positions 437 to 920 of the family's 2925-position model. The record is from RNAcentral. Lineage: Bacteria; Pseudomonadati; Pseudomonadota; Gammaproteobacteria; Enterobacterales; Enterobacteriaceae.